This 492-nucleotide ribosomal RNA is filed under the name uncultured bacterium. Its description in RNAcentral is "partial 16S ribosomal RNA". It matches the Rfam family "Bacterial small subunit ribosomal RNA", at positions 29 to 507 of the family's 1533-position model. The record is from RNAcentral.
AGUGAACGCUGGCGGUAGGCCUAACACAUGCAAGUCGAACGGCAGCACAGUAAGAGCUUGCUCUUACGGGUGGCGAGUGGCGGACGGGUGAGGAAUACAUCUGAAUCUACUUUUUCGUGGGGGAUAACGUAGGGAAACUUACGCUAAUACCGCAUACGACCUACGGGUGAAAGCAGGGGAACUUCGGACCUUGCGCGAUUGAAUGAGCCGAUGUCGGAUUAGCUUGUUGGCGGGGUAAAGGCCCACCAAGGCGACGAUCCGUAGCUGGUCUGAGAGGAUGAUCAGCCACACUGGAACUGAGACACGGUCCAGACUCCUACGGGAGGCAGCAGUGGGGAAUAUUGGACAAUGGGCGCAAGCCUGAUCCAGCCAUACCGCGUGGGUGAAGAAGGCCUUCGGGUUGUAAAGCCCUUUUGUUGGGAAAGAAAAGCAGCAGGUUAAUACCCCGCUGUUCUGACGGUACCCAAAGAAUAAGCACCGGCUAACUUCGUG